Molecule: ribosomal RNA, 222 nt
Filed under: uncultured bacterium
Lineage: Bacteria
Description: partial 16S ribosomal RNA
Rfam family: Bacterial small subunit ribosomal RNA
Source: RNAcentral
GAUCAUGGCUCAGGAUGAACGCUGGCGGCGUGCUUAACACAUGCAAGUCGAGCGAAGCACUUUGCUUUGAUUUCUUCGGGAUGAAGAGCUUGGUGACUGAGCGGCGGACGGGUGAAGUAACGCGUGGGUAACCUGCCUCAUACAGGGGGAUAACAGUUAGAAAUGACUGCUAAUACCGCAUAAGACCACAGCACCGCAUGGUGCAGGGGUAAAAACUCCGGU